AUUGUUGGGAUAGCUCAGUUGGUAGAGCAGAGGACU
This 36-nucleotide transfer RNA is filed under the name Allium sphaerocephalon. RNAcentral's name for it is "partial tRNA-Phe". The record is from RNAcentral. Lineage: Eukaryota; Viridiplantae; Streptophyta; Magnoliopsida; Asparagales; Amaryllidaceae.